This 492-nucleotide ribosomal RNA is filed under the name uncultured bacterium. Its description in RNAcentral is "partial 16S ribosomal RNA". It matches the Rfam family "Bacterial small subunit ribosomal RNA", at positions 29 to 507 of the family's 1533-position model. The record is from RNAcentral.
AGUGAACGCUGGCGGUAGGCCUAACACAUGCAAGUCGAACGGCAGCACAGUAAGAGCUUGCUCUUACGGGUGGCGAGUGGCGGACGGGUGAGGAAUACAUCGGAAUCUACUUUUUCGUGGGGGAUAACGUAGGGAAACUUACGCUAAUACCGCAUACGACCUACGGGUGAAAGCAGGGGAUCUUCGGACCUUGCGCGAUUGAAUGAGCCGAUGUCGGAUUAGCUAGUUGGCGGGGUAAAGGCCCACCAAGGCGACGAUCCGUUGCUGGUCUGAGAGGAUGACCAGCCACACUGGAACUGAGACACGGUCCAGACUCCUACGGGAGGCAGCAGUGGGGAAUAUUGGACAAUGGGCGCAAGCCUGAUCCAGCCAUACCGCGUGGGUGAAGAAGGCCUUCGGGUUGUAAAGCCCUUUUGUUGGGAAAGAAAAGCAGCAGGUUAAUACCCCGCUGUUCUGACGGUACCCAAAGAAUAAGCACCGGCUAACUUCGUG